GGAUUGGGAGGGUUCUACGGAACCCGUUUGGUGAAUCUAGUGCCGAGAAAAGCCUUCUAUGUGUUGAAUUUCUAGUACCCGUACCCCAAACCGACACAGGUGGGUGGGUAGAGCAUACCUAGGGGCGCGUGAUAACUCUCUCUAAGGAACUCGGCAAAAUGGCCCUGUAACUUCGGGAUAAGGGGUGCCUGCGUGAGCAGGCCGCAGUGAAAUGGCUCUGGCGACUGUUUACCAAAAACACAGGUCUCUGCUAAGUCGUAAGACGAUGUAUAGGGGCUGACUCCUGCCCAGUGCCGGAAGGUUAAGGAAGUUGGUUAGCGCAAGCGAAGCUGGCGACCGAAGCCCCGGUGAACGGCGGCCGUAACUAUAACGGUCCUAAGGUAGCGAAAUUCCUUGUCGGGUAAGUUCCGACCCGCACGAAAGGAGUAACGAUCAGAGCGCUGUCUCGGAGAGAGACACGGCGAAAUAGGAUUGUCCGUGAAGAUACGGACUACCUGCACCCGGACAGAAAGACCCUAUGAAGCUUUACUGUAACUUGGAAUUGUGUUCGGACUUUGUCUGCGCAGAAUAGGUGGGAGGCUAUGAAACGUUCCUCGCGGGGAACUGGAGCCAUCGUUGAGAUACCACUCUGGCAGAGUCUGGAUUCUAACCUACGGGGACAGUUCCAGGUGGGCAGUUUGACUGGGGCGGUCGCCUCCUAAAAUGUAACGGAGGCGCGCAAAGGUUCCCUCAGGCUGGUUGGAAAUCAGCCAUAGAGUGUAAAAGCAUAAGGGAGCUUGACUGUGAGACCUACAAGUCGAGCAGGGACGAAAGUCGGCUUUAGUGAUCCGACGGCACUGAGUGGAAGGGCCGUCGCUCAACGGAUAAAGUUACUCUAGGAUAACAGGCUGAUCUCCCCCAAGAGUUCACAUCGACGGGGAGGUUUGGCACCUGAUGUCGGCUCGUCGCAACCUGGGGCGGUAGUACGUCCCAAGGGUUGGGCUGUUCGCCCAUUAAAGCGGCACGUGAGCUGGGUUCAGAACUCGUGAGACAGUUCGGUCCAUAUCCGGUGUAGGCGUAGGAGCAUUGAAAGGAUCUCUCCUUAGUACGAGAGGACCGGGAGGGACGUACCUCUGGUGUACCUGUUAUCGUGCCAACGGUAAACGCAGGGUAGCCAUGUACGGAGUGGAUAACCGCUGAAAGCAUCUAAGUGGGAAGCCCACCUUAAGAUGAGUGCUCCCUUGAGGCCACGGGAAGACGACCCGUUUGAUAGGCGCUAGGUGGAAGUGCAGUAAUGCAUGCAGCCGAGGCGUACUAAUAGGCCGAUGGC
RNAcentral lists this ribosomal RNA (1309 nucleotides) under metagenome. Its description in RNAcentral is "bacterial LSU rRNA". It matches the Rfam family "Bacterial large subunit ribosomal RNA", at positions 1563 to 2925 of the family's 2925-position model. The record is from RNAcentral.